Long non-coding RNA from Synchiropus splendidus (mandarinfish), 1385 nucleotides. RefSeq lists it as uncharacterized. NCBI's taxonomy places the organism in Eukaryota, Metazoa, Chordata, Actinopteri, Syngnathiformes, Callionymidae. The transcript has 4 exons. The record is from RefSeq and is a predicted model, not a curated record.
UUUCUCACAAGUGCAACUAAACCAAUGGACUAUGCUCAGUUCCUCAAUGCAAGGCUUGAUGUAACAGAGGUUUUACACUUGUCUAGAACAAGUGUAGUGCACUUGGCUGCCUUUGUAGUUAUUGUUUUUAUUUCACCUCUUUAUACUUGCUUUAUUCAAUUCGUUUAUUCAAGUUUCUAUCAAUUCCUUCUGACUGGAGAAACACUUUUUGUCUCAGUUCCUUCUCAAUGUCUGUGGAAGCCUCAGCUUUAUUUUACUUCUCAGACGUUUUAUUAUUAAAUACAUUCUUGUGAGUCAUUGGCUCAAAUGGUUGCAACACUGGCCUCUCCACAGAAUACCACUUCAACUGACUUCACAUUGAGAAGCUGUGGCUCUGCUCUAGGUCUCUUCUGGCUGACUGAGCUUCUCUCUCUCUCUUUACCACCCCUCAAAUGUACUUUUUCUGUGGCUGGAGCUGCUCCUCUGAGGCGGUGAGAUGCAGCCAGCAGGUGACAGAGUGACUGUAGUGGAUGAAUCACAGCGAAGUUCAGGGAGGAGUGAAUCACUGUGUGCAUUGAGCGGUCUUUUCUUGAAGAGCGCACAGGAAAAAAUGAGCCAUUCCGUAUGAGGGAUCUGUCACAUGCCAAAGUAGAUGCUCCUCACACGAAUCUAUCCUUGAGUCGAGGAACAGAAAGCAGAAGAUCCAACUCCAACAACCUUUGACAAUGUUCAAAAAGAUUUUUGUUCAGAAAACCUUCAAUGGUUAAUAGAAUUAGUAGUAUGACACAUUUCAAUAAAUAUUUAGAUAUAUACAGAUAAAGCAGAAAUGGUACAUUCUUUUUUUUUUUUUUCAUCAAAUUGCUUCACAUUUUUUUGUACAAGCCAAAAUAUCUGCCAUUGUGUUUAUAUUCAUGCAAAAUAUUGUUUCUCAGAUUAAUGAAAAUAAAAAAGGAUUCGCCUUUUUUUUCUUUUUUUCACUUUAUCCUGCUUUGUUGUCAGAUUAUAAUGAGCAUUUUUGCAAAUGAAACGGUGCACUUUGUGCCAUCACACGAUCAAAGCUUAAAAAGAAAACAAAAGUUAAGGCCAUUCCAGCUUGUGCAAAGAAAAAAAUAAUUCAUAACUCCUUUAAUUCACAGCAGUUUUGGGAUCCUCCCCCCCUCCCCCAUUGCAGGAUUGUACAAGUACACACAAGAACCAAACCUCUGAUGUAAUUCAUUUAAAUGAACCAUGCUACGGUUAAACCCAAACACAAGUCUUCGGAACACAACACGAACCCUCUCUCGCAGCCAGGGCCCCGACUCCCUCCCCAACAGUGACGACGAGUGGUUGAAUGAAUGCAUGAUAUGCGUUAGGUCCUUUUUUUUUAUUUGCAUAUUCAACCCUGUAUGGCACAAAAAAGACGUAUA